This 440-nucleotide ribosomal RNA is filed under the name uncultured bacterium. RNAcentral describes it as "bacterial SSU rRNA". It matches the Rfam family "Bacterial small subunit ribosomal RNA", at positions 338 to 790 of the family's 1533-position model. The record is from RNAcentral.
CCUACGGGUGGCAGCAGUGGGGAAUAUUGGACAAUGGGCGGAAGCCUGAUCCAGCAACGCCGCGUGAGGGAUGACGGCCUUCGGGUUGUAAACCUCUUUCGGUAGGGACGAAGCGUGAGUGACGGUACCUACUAAAGAAGCACCGGCCAACUACGUGCCAGCAGCCGCGGUAAUACGUAGGGUGCGAGCGUUGUCCGGAAUUAUUGGGCGUAAAGGGCUCGUAGGCGGUUUGUCGCGUCGGGAGUGAAAACAUCCAGCUUAACUGGGUGCUUGCUUUCGAUACGGGCAGACUUGAGGCAUGCAGGGGAGAAUGGAAUUCCUGGUGUAGCGGUGAAAUGCGCAGAUAUCAGGAGGAACACCGGUGGCGAAGGCGGUUCUCUGGGCAUGUCCUGACGCUGAGGAGCGAAAGUGUGGGGAGCGAACAGGAUUAGAUACCCUUG